RNAcentral lists this ribosomal RNA (465 nucleotides) under uncultured bacterium. RNAcentral describes it as "partial 16S ribosomal RNA". It matches the Rfam family "Bacterial small subunit ribosomal RNA", at positions 28 to 507 of the family's 1533-position model. The record is from RNAcentral.
GAUGAACGCUGGCGGCGUGCUUAACACAUGCAAGUCGAACGGAAAGGCUCCUGCUUGCAGGGGUACUCGAGUGGCGAACGGGUGAGUAACACGUGGGUGAUCUGCCCUGCACUUCGGGAUAAGCCUGGGAAACUGGGUCUAAUACCGGAUAGGACGAUGGUUUGGAUGCCAUUGUGGAAAGUUUUUCGGUGUGGGAUGAGCUCGCGGCCUAUCAGCUUGUUGGUGGGGUAAUGGCCUACCACGGCGUCGACGGGUCGCCGGCCUGAGAGGGUGUACGGCCACAUUGGGACUGAGAUACGGCCCAGACUCCUACGGGAGGCAGCAGUGGGGAAUAUUGCACAAUGGGCGCAAGCCUGAUGCAGCGACGCCGCGUGGGGGAUGACGGCCUUCGGGUUGUAAACUCCUUUCGCUAGGGACGAAGCGCAAGUGACGGUACCUGGAGAAGAAGCACCGGCUAACUACGUG